RNAcentral lists this unclassified non-coding RNA (95 nucleotides) under Polaribacter dokdonensis DSW-5. Its description in RNAcentral is "Flavo-1 RNA". Lineage: Bacteria; Pseudomonadati; Bacteroidota; Flavobacteriia; Flavobacteriales; Flavobacteriaceae. The record is from RNAcentral.
GCUUAGCCCAGAUUGAACGACUUGUUUGAGCUCUUUUUGAGUUGCUGAUUUUUAUCAGCAACUCAAAAAAGCGAGUAGUGAAAGCUGGAAACAGC